Lonchura striata (white-rumped munia) is the source of this 386-nucleotide long non-coding RNA. RefSeq lists it as uncharacterized. NCBI's taxonomy places the organism in Eukaryota, Metazoa, Chordata, Aves, Passeriformes, Estrildidae. The record is from RefSeq and is a predicted model, not a curated record.
AGCUUGGAAGCCUCCGUGAUGGAAGGCACGAGUCCUUAAGACACAGGCAACUCUGUGUCACUGCUCCAGCCAGGCUGUAAGAAGUCAGGCAGUGCCACACCUCCAGCCAUGCACUGAGCACAGGUGAUGUGAAUGCAGCGUCGUGUGGGACAGCAGCAUGGUCCAUAGCCAUCAUUACAUGAACCAAUCCUGCAGCCGUCCUGCGCUGGCUUUUCAGCACCUUACCUGAGGUAAGGUCAGCAACAAUCGUCUGGAGAGCAGCAAGAUGGGUGUAGCAACUGACAUCGGCAGCCUUCAAUCCAAGACAGAGAGUUGGAGCUGCUAAUCUAAAGCAAAAGAAAAAAAUCCUGGGGUGAAGAAUGAAAUAAAGGAGGGAAGGAAACUCG